This 104-nucleotide small nuclear RNA is filed under the name Catagonus wagneri (Chacoan peccary). The record is from RNAcentral. Lineage: Eukaryota; Metazoa; Chordata; Mammalia; Artiodactyla; Tayassuidae.
GUGCUUGCUUUGGCAACACAUAUAGCAAAAUUGGGACAAUAUAGAGAUUACUGUGGCUCCUGCACAAGGAUGACAUGCAAAUUUGUGAAGUGUUCCAUAUUAUU